CCAACUUUCCAUAAAUAUGAGCGUCAUCAUGGCCAGAACGGGAGCCGCUGAGCCUGUUGUGGAGAUGCCGGAGGAGAUCUCCUUUCCCCUAGCCUCCCUUGAGGAGGUUGAUCACUUGAAGGGUGGUUGAAAAACCCAGGCAACAUAGCCAAAAAACAGCACUUGGUGGGGAUGCUGGCCUCCAUUGGGGGAAGAGGUACUAAACAAAUAGUAUUUAACAUUUUGGGGUACAUUUUUGCUGACAGUGUAGCCAAAAACAUAAAUUGGAAAGGGAUGAAUAAUUAAAAAAAAUUCAGUGAGAUGGCAACCAAGGUCAUUAUGGCUCGAGCAGUGAGGAAGAAUCGCAUGAGUGAUAAAGCCACAUACAUGGAAAUAAAUCAUAAUGCCAUCAGAUGGUUUAAUCUGGCUUGUGACCGCGGGGGUGGCCGCCGUGCCCGGUCACACCCAACUGGUGAUCAAUAAAUAUGUGCAGUGUUCACAUUUUUUUUUUUUUGUAAUUUGAUUUUUAAUCAUAUUAUUUCUGUCACUUACAUUUACUCACUACUGGGAAUGGCCUUUUACAACUAGAGUAGUAUGGCUUCUUACUGUACAGUGGUGUGGUUAAGCUUGUCUCACUGCCAGGCUUGAGAGCUACUAGGAAUGGCUGUGGUAAAUAAGCAUGUGUGUGUAAGUGUGUGAAUGAGUGUGUGUAACGGGUGUGAACCGGGGAAAUGCAUGAAAAUGAAAUGAAAAUGAAAUGAAAAUUGAAAUGGAAAAGUAAAUAGAAAUGAAAAUGAAAUUGAAAGUGAAAUGAAAAGUAAAUG
Long non-coding RNA from Osmerus eperlanus (European smelt), 803 nucleotides. RefSeq lists it as uncharacterized. The transcript has 3 exons. NCBI's taxonomy places the organism in Eukaryota, Metazoa, Chordata, Actinopteri, Osmeriformes, Osmeridae. The record is from RefSeq and is a predicted model, not a curated record.